Gallus gallus (chicken) is the source of this 1041-nucleotide long non-coding RNA. NCBI's taxonomy places the organism in Eukaryota, Metazoa, Chordata, Aves, Galliformes, Phasianidae. The record is from Ensembl.
CAGCGCACAGCCUGACACCGACCCCAGCCACAGAGGCAAUAAGGCAGACAGGAUGUUAUUCACACGUGCCGAAACGAAGUUAAACCCCCACGCUGCUCAGCCUGCUGUGCCGUGCCCAUUAGGUUCGUGUUCCCUGCGCUGCAGAGCACAGCCUGACACGGAAGAUGCCGUUUUUGGUACGUUCUCUAGUUCACCUUGAGAACAGAAACCAGCGGAGGCAGCGGUUUGAGGUCAGGGGCAAAGGUCUGCUGCUGCUCUCACUCACAAUAGGAAAACGCACAGAUGCGAUUCCUGCCCGCUGCUCGAGGCGGCCAUCUGGACACGGACUGCCCUGUUGGUGUCAGCUCCUCCCUUGUGACAAAUCCAAACACCCCCCCAGCUCCAACACCACACCCCAGGAGCCCAGCAGACAUGUUCUCUAUCAUCCAACAGCAGCAGCUGAAAUGAAGUACUUCAUUCGGGCCUACCGGAUCCUCCGCCUCUGCCAUAGCAGCCAAUGCUCAGUAAGGAUCCCAGGCCAUUUUUAGUGCGUUUCCCCAUCAGUGACUGAGCCUGCAGACCCUGCGUGACCCCACAGGCUGAACGGAACGGAGCAAACAGAGCCGUCAGCACACGCUGAGCAACUGGAGAGAGCCAUUAACAGGUUAGUCAAAAACACCGUCCUUCACUGCGAAAGUUAUUCCUUUCUGGAUGCAGCCGGAGCACUUUGGAUCAUCUCUAUCAGACACCGCAGUAGGACUGAAGCAGAGUGAACUCCAUGAGCGCCAAGCUUCAGCACAUUAAUUGCUGCUCCUCAGGAACCCGAGACGACCAUUUGAAGGCUGUCUUUUGUCUCAAUGGAAUUUCAGCAUCUCCUUGGGCUUUGCAUUUAUACCAUUCGUGUGAACAGCAAAACUGCACGCAGAUGAUACAGAAGUAACAUAAUAGCAGCAGUAACCGGAUUAACAAUCCAUUAGCACAGAUCUGAAAUCCCAGUGGUUAUUAACUGGGAGUGAAGGGAGGGGUUGCUAUUCUCCAUAUUAGCACAUGAAUAAAACACUG